CGCGAACGUUGGCGGCGUGCCUAACACAUGCAAGUCGUGGGGCAGCAGGCUACUAUCUUCGGGUAGUAGUGCUGGCGACCGGCAAACGGGUGAGUAACACGUAGCUUACCUACCCAUAGGUUGGGGAUAACAUCCCGAAAGGGGUGCUAAUACCCAAUAAUGAGGAGACUCCAAAGCCCUUAUGGGUGCCUAUGGAUGGGGCUGCGUCCCAUCAGCUAGUUGGUGAGGUAAUGGCUCACCAAGGCUACGACGGGUAACCGGUCUGAGAGGAUGACCGGUCACAGUGGGACUGAGACACGGCCCGCACCCCUACGGGGGGCAGCAGUGGGGAAUAUUGGGCAAUGGCCGAAAGGCUGACCCAGCAACGCCGCGUGGUGGAUGAAGCCCUUCGGGGUGUAAACACCUUUUCUGGGGGAAGAUAAUGACGGUACCCCAGGAAUAAGGGACGGCUAACUACGUGCCAGCAGCCGCGGUAAUACGUAG
This 483-nucleotide ribosomal RNA is filed under the name uncultured Sulfurihydrogenibium sp. RNAcentral's name for it is "bacterial SSU rRNA". It matches the Rfam family "Bacterial small subunit ribosomal RNA", at positions 29 to 530 of the family's 1533-position model. Lineage: Bacteria; Pseudomonadati; Aquificota; Aquificia; Aquificales; Hydrogenothermaceae. The record is from RNAcentral.